UCUUGAGUUUUGAGAGUUUAGAAUAAGAAUAAGAUAAGUGAUCUUAAGGUAGUGUAAGGAAGAUAACUUGAGCAUCUCAUCAUUAGAUUUAGGAGGUUUUAAUGCUUAAUUAUGUUUUUUUCUAACCUUAGUUCAUCUUUUUUAUUAGGGUUUGUAGCAAAGGAAGUGAUCAAAUCAUCUAAAGCCAAAGGAAAGAAGAAGAUUGAGGAGGAGGCCGUGAGUUCGAGUGCGCUGAAGUGUAUUAUCCUCUUAUUUUAAGGACUUUAAUGUAUGAAUGGUAAUGUCUAAUUGAAGAUUUAAUGGUGAGUUAUAAGUUAAUUUAUUA
This is a long non-coding RNA of Gossypium raimondii (Peruvian cotton), 325 nucleotides long. RefSeq lists it as uncharacterized. Lineage: Eukaryota; Viridiplantae; Streptophyta; Magnoliopsida; Malvales; Malvaceae. The transcript is spliced from 2 exons. The record is from RefSeq and is a predicted model, not a curated record.